AAAAAAUAUGGAUUGAAUAAAACGAUAUUGAGAACAUUGUUGUAACAUUAUAUAGAUGUAACUUGAUACUAUAUAUAUAUAUAUAUAUAUAUAUGUUGUCUUUGCUGAAGUGCAUUCCAUCCCCUCUACUCUGAACGCUUCAUACUCUCUCUUUGGUUUACAUGGAUAACUUAUGGGACUCUUGAAGCAACCACACCAGCAUCAUGAAGACACACCGGAAAAAAAUACAUCAAUUAGUCCCAAGGGUUUGAAUUUUAUUUUGAAAGGAAAGAUGGUUAAUGUGUGAAAGAAAUAUUGAAUCUUUUAAUGUUUAUACAUUCUGUCAAGUUGUAAAUAUAAUUUAACAAAAAGGUUCUCAUGUUUAUUCAAGAAUUGUCUAUCCAUUA
Molecule: long non-coding RNA, 386 nt
Organism: Medicago truncatula (barrel medic)
Lineage: Eukaryota; Viridiplantae; Streptophyta; Magnoliopsida; Fabales; Fabaceae
Exons: 2
Source: RefSeq, a predicted model, not a curated record